CAUGCAUACAGCCCAGUCUAACGUACAGGAUCAAAAAGCCGGGCGUGGUGGCACAUUCCUGUAAUCCCAGCUACUUGGGAGGCUGAGGUGGGAGAAUCGCUUGAACCCGGGAGGCGGAGGUUGCGGUGAGCCAAGAUCGCGCCAUUGCACUCCAGCCCUGAAGUUAUUUGAAGGAUCCUUGAGACUCUUUUGGAUUGCUGCUUGGAGAACAUUCCUGUAACUUGUCCCUGCUCCUUGAACUAUAAAAGCAGAAGGGAGGUACUGAGUUAAAACUUACAAAUUAUUAUCAAAUAAAUCUUCAAUAGUG
RNAcentral lists this long non-coding RNA (307 nucleotides) under Homo sapiens (human). RNAcentral describes it as "non-protein coding CFLAR-AS1:3". Lineage: Eukaryota; Metazoa; Chordata; Mammalia; Primates; Hominidae. The record is from RNAcentral.